GCUGUAGCUCAGGGGUAGAGGAUCUGCUUUGCAUGCAGAAGGUUCCAGGUUCAGUCCCCAGCAUCUGCA
This is a non-coding RNA of Podarcis lilfordi (Lilford's wall lizard), 69 nucleotides long. The record is from the annotation of a GenBank genome assembly. Lineage: Eukaryota; Metazoa; Chordata; Lepidosauria; Squamata; Lacertidae.